AACAUGCAAGCACGCAUCCACCUCCACUGAGGUGAGAGCAGAUACACAUCCACCUCCACUGAGGUGGAUAGCAGAUACACAUCCACCUCCACCGUGAUAGCAGAUACACAUCCACAUCCACUGAGGUGGAUAGCAGAUACACAUCCACCUCCACUGAGGUCUAAAUAUGCAAACAUGCAUCCACCUCCACUGAGGUGAGGGCAGAUACACCUCCACCUGCAUUGAGGUCUGAUGCAAACAUGCAAGCACGCAUCCACCUCCACUGAGGUGAGAGCAGAUACACAUCCACCUCCACUGAGGUGGAUAGCAGAUACACAUCCACCUCCACCGUGAUAGCAGAUACACAUCCACAUCCCCUGAGGUGGAUAGCAGAUACACAUCCACCUCCACUGAGGUCUAGAUAUAAAUAUGCAAACAUGCAUCCACCUCCACUGAGGUGAGUAGCAGGCAUGGAAUACCAAACAGAGACCACCAAUACACCACUGAACUAGAAGUUAGCAACAUUUCAGUUUCCUUCUGAAAAGAGUCCAAACUUGUCCUCAACUGACCCCAGAGAAGAGGGAGAGAUGGACGGAAGGGGAUACGCAAUAAAGGGGGGCGGCCAAGAGACACAUCUCAUGGAGGGUCCGUCUGUCCCAAUUCCUCCCGCCAAGACCCCCGAGGCCGAGAGGAAAUGGCUUCCCAGUGUCUCCGGGCGAGCGCUGGCUCCGGAUCGACGGAUCAGCCUGGAACCCUAGAUCUUAAUAUAUAAUAAUGUCGCGGCCGUAAUCCAAUUUAUUGGCAAGAUCAUUAAGACGGAAGGGAGGCUGGCCAUCACUUAAAGCAAGAGGAGACGGAGGCCCAAACAAAACAGGGCUUGUUUAUUUUUUGGCCCAAAACAAACAUGGAGGCACGGCCAAGGCUCGCUGGGAGAGGACAAUGAGAGCGGAUAAAUGUAAUUACUUAAUAGGCCGGGCCUGGGAACGAAAAGAGGGUUUGGAAGACGCCGGAAGAAGGGCCUGUCAACAACUCUUCCCUUACAGAUCCCACAUGGCAAUAUCAAUAUAUAUAUAUGUACGGGUGACAUAUAAAUGUAGCAAAUAAAUAAAUAAACACACACACACACAUAUCUAUAUCUAUAUCUAUAUCUAUAAAAUGAUAAAGUUGUUUGCGCAGUGACUAUAACAACAAAACUAAACAUCCCAGAAAUACGAAAUUUGGCAACACAAUGCAAAAGGCUUGCCUCCAGGUUACAACAACACAACCACACCACAAAACCACAAUCCAGACCCACAAAACUCACAACAACGCAUCAUGCGAUAACAACACAACUAAACGCCCCAGAAAUACAAAACUUGGCAACACAAUGCAAAAGCCUUGCCUUCCAGUUAUAACAACACAACCACACCACAAAACCACACAGGACCCACAAAACUCACAACAACGCAUUGUGACUAUAACACAAC
Long non-coding RNA from Anolis carolinensis (green anole), 1445 nucleotides. RefSeq lists it as uncharacterized. Lineage: Eukaryota; Metazoa; Chordata; Lepidosauria; Squamata; Anolidae. The record is from RefSeq and is a predicted model, not a curated record. The transcript is spliced from 2 exons.